UUAGGGAACUUCUCCAAUGCGCGCAAGCGUGAGAGAGCAAAUCAGAGUGAUUUUGAUAUAAUUUCAAAAUCUUUUGCCGAAUGUAAAAAGUUCGGAGAAUAAGGACUGGGCAAGACUGGUGCCAGCCGCCGCGGUAAUCCCAGCGGUCCGAGUCGCAUCCACAAUUAUUGGGUCUAAAACAUUCGUAGCUUGUUUGUUAAGUUUCUUGUGAAAUCUUAAAUCUUAAAUUUAAGGCGUGCAAGAAAUACUGGCAAACUUGAGACCGGAAGAAGUAAAGAGUAUGGCCAAGGUAGUGGUAAAAUACGUUAAUCUUGGUUAGACUAACAACAGCGAAGGCACUUUACUAGUACGGAUCUGACAGUGAGGAAUGAAGGCUAGGGUCGCGAAAGGG
Molecule: ribosomal RNA, 391 nt
Filed under: uncultured euryarchaeote
Lineage: Archaea; Methanobacteriati; Methanobacteriota
Description: bacterial SSU rRNA
Rfam family: Archaeal small subunit ribosomal RNA
Source: RNAcentral